GCCAGACUCCUACGGGAGGCAGCAGUGGGGAAUAUUGCACAAUGGGGGAAACCCUGAUGCAGCGACGCCGCGUGAAGGAAGAAGUAUCUCGGUAUGUAAACUUCUAUCAGCAGGGAAGAAAACAGACGGUACCUGACUAAGAAGCCCCGGCUAACUACGUGCCAGCAGCCGCGGUAAUACGUAGGGGGCAAGCGUUAUCCGGAUUUACUGGGUGUAAAGGGAGCGUAGGCGGCGCGUUAAGUCUGAUGUGAAAACCCGAGGCUCAACCACGGGAGUGCAUUGGAAACUGGCGGGCUGGAGUGCCGGAGAGGUAAGCGGAAUUCCUAGUGUAGCGGUGAAAUGCGUAGAUAUUAGGAGGAACACCAGUGGCGAAGGCGGCUUACUGGACAGUAACUGACGUUGAGGCUCGAAAGCGUGGGGAGCAAACAGGAUUAGAUACCCCAGUAC
This 447-nucleotide ribosomal RNA is filed under the name uncultured bacterium. Its description in RNAcentral is "bacterial SSU rRNA". It matches the Rfam family "Bacterial small subunit ribosomal RNA", at positions 330 to 793 of the family's 1533-position model. The record is from RNAcentral.